GGGACCGGUGACUGAGUGGCGGACGGGUGAGUAACGCGUGGGUAACCUGCCCUGUACAGGGGGAUAACAGUUAGAAAUGACUGCUAAUACCGCAUAAGCAUACGAGGAGGCAUCUCCUUGUGUGAAAAACUCCGGUGGUACAGGAUGGGCCCGCGUCUGAUUAGCUAGUUGGCAGGGUAAGGGCCUACCAAGGCGACGAUCAGUAGCCGGUCUGAGAGGAUGAACGGCCACAUUGGAACUGAGACACGGUCCAAACUCCUACGGGAGGCAGCAGUGGGGAAUAUUGCACAAUGGGGGAAACCCUGAUGCAGCAACGCCGCGUGAGUGAUGAAGUAUUUCGGUAUGUAAAGCUCUAUCAGCAGGGAAGAUGAUGACGGUACCUGACUAAGAAGCUCCGGCUAAAUACGUGCCAGCAGCCGCGGUAAUACGUAUGGAGCAAGCGUUAUCCGGAUUUACUGGGUGUAAAGGGUGCGUAGGCGGUCUGGCAAGUCAGAUGUGAAAUGCCGGGGCUCAACCCCGGAGCUGCAUUUGAAACUGCUGGACUGGAGUACAGGAGAGGCAGGCGGAAUUCCUAGUGUAGCGGUGAAAUGCGUAGAUAUUAGGAAGAACACCAGUGGCGAAGGCGGCCUGCUGGACUGUUACUGACGCUGAGGCACGAAAGCGUGGGGAGCAAACAGGAUUAGAUACCCUGGUAGUCCACGCCGUAAACGAUG
Molecule: ribosomal RNA, 713 nt
Filed under: uncultured bacterium
Lineage: Bacteria
Description: bacterial SSU rRNA
Rfam family: Bacterial small subunit ribosomal RNA
Source: RNAcentral